CCCGUAGGGGGCAAGCGUUGUCCGGAUUUAUUGGGCGUAAAGGGUAGGUAGGUGGUCUCAUUUGUCUGGGGUGAAAGCCUUGAGCUUAACUCAAGAAGUGCCCUAGAAACGGUGAGACUGGAGUCCUGGAGAGGGUCGUGGAAUUCCCGGUGUAGCGGUGAAAUGCGUAGAGAUCGGGAGGAACACCAGCGGCGAAGGCGGCGACCUGGACAGGUACUGACACUCAACUACGAAAGCGUGGGGAGCAAACAGG
RNAcentral lists this ribosomal RNA (253 nucleotides) under uncultured bacterium. RNAcentral describes it as "partial 16S ribosomal RNA". It matches the Rfam family "Bacterial small subunit ribosomal RNA", at positions 524 to 776 of the family's 1533-position model. The record is from RNAcentral.